Molecule: long non-coding RNA, 835 nt
Organism: Oncorhynchus gorbuscha (pink salmon)
Lineage: Eukaryota; Metazoa; Chordata; Actinopteri; Salmoniformes; Salmonidae
Exons: 3
Source: RefSeq, a predicted model, not a curated record
CCAGUGCAGCAGCAACAGCACAUGAUGGAGACGAUGAUGAUGAGGAGGAGACCAUCUCUCUGGAUUCCAGAAGGCAUGAGGUAUCAUGGUAAGACUGUGAAAGUACUAUUUACUCUACAAUGGUGAGGAGUCCUCAUCAAAAUCAAAAAAUCUAAUUUCUUUUACAGGACCCAGAUGCUAUACAGUGGGAAAACCAGCCUGGCAACAUAGUGCGUAUUAAUAAAAGGACACCACAUCCUGCCAAAUUCCAGCUGCGCUAAUUGUAUUGUGUUCACAGAGCGCACAAGCUAUCAGAAAGUUGUAUGGCAACCACCUCCGGCGCCAAAUAGAACUGGCAGACAUAGACAUUCAGUACAAGAAGAAAAAGAUGGAAAAUCUUGCACUGGAGUCCGAAAUAAAAAAGAGGACAAUUAGGAAACUGGACCUUGAAAUAAAAAAACUUGAGAGGGAGCUCCAAGAAGAUGACACAGCUCAAAAUAAAAAUUAGCAAUCAGUACAACCAAGUCAUCGUUAUAAGGCAUCGCCCUCUUUUGCCCACCCCCCCAGCACCAGGUGUGGCCACUAGCCUAUAUGAAGGCCCAAAAUUGUGUGUUCCUUUCUGCUCUGACAAUGGCAUGCCCAUUCGUGCGAGAUGUGGUGGAUGAAGAAGCACUUGUGCUGAGGAGAGCCUUCAGGCGAGAAAGGGUCUUCAGGGACCGGUUGGACCCACUGGCCUUCCCUGAUGACCAUCUAUAUGAAAGAUACAGGUUUUCUGCAGAUGGCAUCAGGUAUCUAUGCAGACUACUGGGUCCCAGGAUUAAGCACCACACUGCACGGAGCCAUGCACUGAGUGUGG